GACGAACGCUGGCGGCGUGCUUAACACAUGCAAGUCGAACGGAAAGGCCCUGCUUGCAGGGUACUCGAGUGGCGAACGGGUGAGUAACACGUAGGUGAUCUGCCCUGCACUUCGGGAUAAGCCUGGGAAACUGGGUCUAAUACCGGAUAGGAGCCAUUUUUAGUGUGAUGGUUGGAAAGUUUUUUCGGUGUAGGAUGAGCUCGCGGCCUAUCAGCUUGUUGGUGGGGUAAUGGCCUACCAAGGCGGCGACGGGUAGCCGGCCUGAGAGGGUGGACGGCCACAUUGGGACUGAGAUACGGCCCAGACUCCUACGGGAGGCAGCAGUGGGGAAUAUUGCACAAUGGGCGCAAGCCUGAUGCAGCGACGCCGCGUGGGGGAUGACGGCCUUCGGGUUGUAAACUCCUUUCGCUAGGGACGAAGCUUUUUGUGACGGUACCUAGAUAAGAAGCACCGGCUAACUACGUG
Molecule: ribosomal RNA, 465 nt
Filed under: uncultured bacterium
Lineage: Bacteria
Description: partial 16S ribosomal RNA
Rfam family: Bacterial small subunit ribosomal RNA
Source: RNAcentral